GACGAACGCUGGCGGCGUGCCUAAUACAUGCAAGUAGAACGCACAGUUUAUACCGUAGCUUGCUACACCAUAGACUGUGAGUUGCGAACGGGUGAGUAACGCGUAGGUAACCUGCCUGGUAGCGGGGGAUAACUAUUGGAUACGAUAGCUAAUACCGCAUAAUAUUAAUUAUUGCAUGAUAAUUAAUUGAAAGGUGCAAUUGCACCACUACCAGAUGGACCUGCGUUGUAUUAGCUAGUAGGUGAGGUAACGGCUCACCUAGGCGACGAUACAUAGCCGACCUGAGAGGGUGAUCGGCCACACUGGGACUGAGACACGGCCCAGACUCCUACGGGAGGCAGCAGUAGGGAAUCUUCGGCAAUGGACGAAAGUCUGACCGAGCAACGCCGCGUGAGUGAAGAAGGUUUUCGGAUCGUAAAGCUCUGUUGUAAGAGAAGAACGGGUGUGAGAGUGGAAAGUUCACACUGUGACGGUAUCUUACCAGAAAGGGACGGCUAACUACGUG
RNAcentral lists this ribosomal RNA (505 nucleotides) under uncultured bacterium. RNAcentral's name for it is "partial 16S ribosomal RNA". It matches the Rfam family "Bacterial small subunit ribosomal RNA", at positions 28 to 507 of the family's 1533-position model. The record is from RNAcentral.